RNAcentral lists this ribosomal RNA (490 nucleotides) under uncultured bacterium. RNAcentral's name for it is "partial 16S ribosomal RNA". It matches the Rfam family "Bacterial small subunit ribosomal RNA", at positions 28 to 507 of the family's 1533-position model. The record is from RNAcentral.
GAUGAACGCUCGCGAUAGGCUUAACACAUGCAAGUCGAGGGGCAGCAUGGUCUUAGCUUGCUAAGACUGAUGGCGACCGGCGCACGGGUGCGUAACGCGUAUGCAACUUGCCUCACAGAGGGGGAUAACCCGUCGAAAGACGGACUAAUACCGCGUACACUCCAUCUUGGGCAUCCAAGGUAGAGGAAAUGAAAUUCGCUGUGAGAUAGGCAUGCGUCCCAUUAGCUAGUUGGUGAGGUAACGGCUCACCAAGGCGACGAUGGGUAGGGGAACUGAGAGGUUGAACCCCCACACUGGUACUGAGACACGGACCAGACUACUACGGGAGGCAGCAGUGAGGAAUGUUGGUCAAUGGGCGAGAGCCUGAACCAGCCAAGUCGCGUGAAGGAUGACUGUCUUAUGGAUUGUAAACUUCUUUUAUACGGGAAUAACAAGAGUCACGUGUGACUCCCUGCAUGUACCGUAUGAAUAAGCAUCGGCUAACUCCGUG